Phascolarctos cinereus (koala) is the source of this 2281-nucleotide non-coding RNA. NCBI's taxonomy places the organism in Eukaryota, Metazoa, Chordata, Mammalia, Diprotodontia, Phascolarctidae. The record is from RefSeq and is a predicted model, not a curated record.
GCCAGCCUGGCCUCUGCAGCUUUCCCUCCCACAGUUUUUCCCCGCCCCGAGAAGGCAAACUUCUCGGAAUUCUGGCAGAGUCCGGCUGCCUGCUGAAGGAAUGGGGAGAGCCAAUGCUCGGGAAGGAUGUUUGACCAGGCCAAACAAACUAACGACUGGAUGGAGACCUUUCUGAAAAUCUCAACGCUGGUGCUAAUCCUCACCACCUGACCCACCCAUCCCACAAAGGAAGGAAUAUCCCUUAGGGGUACAGAUGGGGCCUGUUUGUAAAAGGUACUGAGCAUGGAUGCCCCAUGGAUCAGUAUGAUUACAUGCUAAUAUUCCAGGUAUCAGCACCAUAUUUGUAUCAUAAAAAAAAUUUGCCCAAGAUGAUGUGCAAUCUCAUAUGGGCUCUAUGUGUACCUUCACGUUAAACGUCCUUUCCCGUUGAUCAUGUUGUCAAGGAAAAUUGGAAGCAAUGGGAGGAACCACGGCAAAAAAAGAAAGAAAAUAAGAGAGAGAUCAAGGAAGACAGAGAGAGAGAGUGAGAGGUCCAAUUGUAUGCUGCCAUCAUCCUUCAUAUUCCAUGGUUGUUUUUCUCGUUAUGGAUAGCAUUUUCCAUCACGAGCUUUGUGGAGUUGCCUUAGAUGCUUCCAUUGCUAAAAAGAGGUUUUCCUGAAGGCCAAAGGCAGCUCACUCACCAUUCAAUGCAGUUCAUUUGUCUCAUCUUCCCGCUACCAUAUGGUUUGGGUGGAUUCCAAGUGUGUGGCAGGUGGAUGGAGGACAACUGCCAGACAAUAGGAUCCAAGCACGUGUGGUCAAGGCCCCCUCCUUGUCUCUAGCUUUCCAGGAAGGUUUUCAAGUGCAGAAUGGGACCUGAUUUCCCAGUGGAGGCUGCCUCCUUGAAGAAUGCUCUCCUUGAUAUGGCCCUUGGCUCACAUCCUUCUGGGGAUUGCAAUGCACAAAUGUUCUUCAGUGCACGGCCCACCUUUCUAACAUCUCAGUGGGUGAUGGCUAACAUGGCAGAGAAGUUGUAUUUGGAGCUGGAAAUCUUGUAUUGCUCUGGUGUCCCAAGCAUGUGAAGCCCAGGAGAAUGAGGGGCUGUCAUUUCCUCACCCAUUCUGGCACAACGGCUUUACUUCCGCACUGGGAUUGAAGCCCAGUUUCUGCCAUGCAAGCUCUUUACUUCCUAGGCCAUGGAGAGAUUCAUUGGAAUGGCCAGUACCCACAGGUGUGGGCAAGGAAGUGGGCUUGUGCUCAGGGCAUGUAGAGUUGUCCUGUGAUGUUAGGAAAGUGAAAUCUUUGCAGGUCUUGCUCUGCAUCCUUCCAUGUACCUGGAAGCAAUUCCAUGUCAUCUCAGGAAGCCCAAUGUCAGCCAGCCUCACAGUAGAGAACCUUCUAGAUGGAAAGAGUUUCAACCACUCCUUUGAUAGCCUUAAGCCAAGAGAGGUAUUCCUUGACAAGGCUCCAUAUUUCCAGAAAUGACAAAGACAGGCCCUCUGGCCUCCAAGUAUGGUCAUGGGUGAUUGUAUUAGGCUUUGCCCAGUGGCCUUUAUGCAUGUUAUGGAUAUCCUGCAGUCUGACAAAGUUUCUUGUAUUGAACUGCAUGUUGAAGGCAGCUUGUGUUGAAAAUGUAUUUUUUUUUAGUUUUUAGAAUUCAACUUUCGAUUCCAUAAGAUUUUGUUUUCCAAAUUUUCUCUGAAUUCCUCUCCUCCCCACAGCCCAAGACUGUGUGCUAUGUGAUAUGAGCUCUGCAUAUACCUUCAUGUUAAACAUCCUUUCCCUUUUAUUAUGUUGUAUAGAAGAAUUGGAAGCAAUGUCAGAAACCAUGUCCCCUGUAUAACUCUGAGCAGUGGGGUCUAAUCCAGAGUAUGGUUUUCCAUGUUGCCCUCAGAAUUUAAUCAUUUCUCAGGAAAGUAUAUGUUCUGGGAACCUGGCUAGUUCAUUGGAACAUGUCAAGUUUAUUCAUAUUCUCACAUGGUUUUAUUCCUCCAGGAACUUUUUUUGUUAGAGUCUCCAUUUAAAUUCUAAUUGAGAAUGCAGUCUUUACAUUCUCACCCAUGGUUUGGACACUCUUCCUGGGACUUUCCCAAUUGGACUCUGAAAUCUAUACCCCCGAAUAUCUCCAGCUUGUAGUGAGAGUGUUGGUGCUUCCCUGAAGUGGUGAUGUUUUCUUAUAUUAUUGCUAUCCUUCGUAUUCUUAGCUUGGUUAUAGUCAUAUUGUUAAGUGUAUGUUGCUGUAAAUCUAGUUUUUCUCUACUUGUAUUAUAAUCUUAAUUAAAGCUACCUUCACUGCUCUUUC